Long non-coding RNA from Astatotilapia calliptera (eastern happy), 1446 nucleotides. The record is from Ensembl. Lineage: Eukaryota; Metazoa; Chordata; Actinopteri; Cichliformes; Cichlidae.
CAGGUUGCUUGGAUGCAUUCUCCGAAAUUCAGAAUUUUUAUGGCAGCAGUAAUAUAGUGACAGCAGAAAUUUCCACUAAUCUGUCCUCAAAGUUCAAUGGUCCUUUAUCCAGAUGGAAGAUCACUGAAGUCUGUAGACUUAAUACCCAGAAGACAAUCAAUGUUUGUAUAAAAUGGGAAAUUGCCUUAUAGUAGGUGAACCAGCUGAUAAAACAAAGAUGAUAUUCAUGGCCAUGACUCAGUUUGGUUUGUUGUUGGAGCAAAUAUUGUUGGUUCAGUCUCUGUUGUAAAAUGGAAGCAAUGCACUUUACAGUCAGUGAAUAAUAUAUUUAUAAAGUAGUAGCAGCCAGGUGAUCAAAUGGACUUUACUGAUCAUCAGCAGUAACAUAUUCCAACAUAUACAACAACAUAUUGCCAGGAGAGGGCGCUCUAGCAAAUUUACCCCCAAGGUCAGACUGAAGUAAAUCUGAAACUCUACAGCCUGUUAAAUCUUAAAGUUCAUCACAGUAUAACUAGAAAAAGGCUGAACAAGUAUGACUUGUCUGGGUAGUUUGCCAAGAGAGAGCCUCUUCUCUCUAAAAAAAAAAAAAAAAAAAAAAAAAAGCUUGCCAGCACAGCUUAGGUUUUGAAAUUUGUAUCUAAAAUAAACCUCAAGACUUCUGGAUAAACGACAAAAAAUUGUAGCCAUAAUACAUUCUGUAAUCCUUGUUUGUCAUGCACUUAAAUAAGUUCUCUCUACACCCUCAUAUUUGUUUCCUUGUGCAUCACUUGACUCUUUCUUUACUCUGUUCAUACUCAGCUGCUUCUUUGUUCCAGGCCACACUGCCUCGCCCCUCUCUCGAAAAAGAAAAGAUUCAGGGUGAUGUAAUGGCCCAGUCAAAGUUCAGACCUCAACAUGACUACAAACCUGGCAAGACCUUUAGAGAGCUGCGCAUAAGUGAACAGAAGCAAACUUGUAAAGAAGGAAGAGCCAUGUGACACACUGAUUUUUACUUUCCACAACACAAUGAAACACACCUAUUAGCUUUUCAUGUAUUUUGAAACUGUUUUUUAGACUCUUUUUAAAAAAAAAAAAUCUUUAAUGCCCUUUGGGUUAGCUUCUGUUGUUUAAAUGUGCUGUAGGCUUUGCUCUGAUAUGUGGUAAGCUAAAAGGAGUUAAAAAUGGAUACAGAUCUACAGUCAAUGGUAUAAAAAAAAUAUUAAAAAAUAAAUUAAUUCUAAUAAGCUAGAUACAAGUGAUAAAUACAAGGAUCAGGUCAAUCAGUAAAAAAAAAAAGUAAAUAAAUAAAUGUCAGAUGGUGAGUUCACUUACAAGGUUGUAUUGAGUCAAAGUCACAUCUUUCUGAGGAUCCAUGCAUCAUAAAAUGAGUUUAAAGGUCUGUUGUAGUUUCAGCGUGUUUAAGCUGUUCAGGUCGUUUCUAUUGUUUAGAUUGAGGAAGUGAAUCCA